Non-coding RNA from Bactrocera oleae (olive fruit fly), 515 nucleotides. The record is from RefSeq and is a predicted model, not a curated record. NCBI's taxonomy places the organism in Eukaryota, Metazoa, Arthropoda, Insecta, Diptera, Tephritidae.
GUUGAUUUAUAAUGGAAGCAAAAUUUCCAAAUGACUAUAAAUUAAGAUUUCAAAUCAAUCAAAUUCCAACUGAAACUGUUCUACUCGGCCGUAUAGAAUUUAUGAAAUGAUUUAGUGCAAGAAAUGUUGAGAUGUCUUUACUAUUGGUAUCAGAAUGUUUUUGGUAAGAGCCUUGAUCGAAACAUUCUGCGCAGAAUAUUCAAAAAAACUAACGAAUCUCUCAAAAUAUGCCUUACAUUUUCACGACAAUCACAAUCAAAAUAUCGUUAAAGUAUGUAUAUCUAUAGAGGCAUUAAACCGUCAUUUGCCACAGUACAAACAAUGCUAAACCAAUGCGAAUACAAAUGUGAAGCAACAGAUAGAGUCUUAAUACAACCAACAACAAAACAGAUGGAGACACAACAAGCAAUAAUACCGUUAUAGAGUUCGCCAUAAAUACUACGGAUCUAUCAACUCGGCUAAAAGCGUGCACCACACUGACUGCAAGAACAACUUUCGUACAGAUAAAAUGCCAU